Molecule: ribosomal RNA, 197 nt
Filed under: uncultured Pseudomonadota bacterium
Lineage: Bacteria; Pseudomonadati; Pseudomonadota
Description: uncultured proteobacterium partial 16S ribosomal RNA
Rfam family: Bacterial small subunit ribosomal RNA
Source: RNAcentral
ACUCCUACGGGAGGCAGCAGUGGGGAAUAUUGGACAAUGGGCGNAAGCCUGAUCCAGCCAUGCCGCGUGUGUGAAGAAGGUCUUCGGAUUGUAAAGCACUUUAAGUUGGGAGGAAGGGCAGUAAAUUAAUAGUUUGCUGUNNNGACGUUACCGACAGAAUAAGCNCCGGNUAACUCUGUGCCAGCAGCCGCGGUAAU